UUUUAUGGAGAGUUUGAUCCUGGCUCAGGAUGAACGCUGGCGGCGUGCCUAAUACAUGCAAGUCGAGCGAACGGACGAGAAGCUUGCUUCUCUGAUGUUAGCGGCGGACGGGUGAGUAACACGUGGAUAACCUACCUAUAAGACUGGGAUAACUUCGGGAAACCGGAGCUAAUACCGGAUAAUAUUUUGAACCGCAUGGUUCAAAAGUGAAAGACGGUCUUGCUGUCACUUAUAGAUGGAUCCGCGCUGCAUUAGCUAGUUGGUAAGGUAACGGCUUACCAAGGCAACGAUGCAUAGCCGACCUGAGAGGGUGAUCGGCCACACUGGAACUGAGACACGGUCCA
Molecule: ribosomal RNA, 344 nt
Filed under: Staphylococcus aureus
Lineage: Bacteria; Bacillati; Bacillota; Bacilli; Caryophanales; Staphylococcaceae
Description: bacterial SSU rRNA
Rfam family: Bacterial small subunit ribosomal RNA
Source: RNAcentral